Molecule: ribosomal RNA, 253 nt
Filed under: uncultured bacterium
Lineage: Bacteria
Description: partial 16S ribosomal RNA
Rfam family: Bacterial small subunit ribosomal RNA
Source: RNAcentral
GACAGAGGGUGCAAGCGUUGUUCGGAAUCAUUGGGCGUAAAGCGCGCGUAGGCGGCUAUGUAAGUCGAAUGUGAAAUCCUUGGGCUCAACCCGGGAAGUGCAUUCGAAACUGCAUAGCUUGAGUCCCGGAGAGGGUGGUGGAAUUCCCAGUGUAGAGGUGAAAUUCGUAGAUAUUGGGAGGAACACCAGAGGCGAAGGCGACCACCUGGACGGAGACUGACGCUGAGGCGCGAAAGCGUGGGGAGCAAACAGG